This 141-nucleotide ribosomal RNA is filed under the name uncultured eukaryote. Its description in RNAcentral is "partial 18S ribosomal RNA". It matches the Rfam family "Eukaryotic small subunit ribosomal RNA", at positions 1299 to 1458 of the family's 1831-position model. The record is from RNAcentral.
UGGUGGAGUGAUUUGUCUGGUUAAUUCCGUUAACGAACGAGACCUCGACCUGCUAAAUAGUCUGGCGAACCCUUCGGGGUUCGUGCCGACUUCUUAGAGGGACUAUCGGUGUGUAGCCGAUGGAAGUUCGAGGCAAUAACA